UACUCCUACGGGAGGCAGCAGUGGGGAAUUUUGGACAAUGGGCGCAAGCCUGAUCCAGCCAUGCCGCGUGUCUGAAGAAGGCCUUCGGGUUGUAAAGGACUUUUGUCAGGGAAGAAAAGGCUGUUGCUAAUAUCGACAGCUGAUGACGGUACCUGAAGAAUAAGCACCGGCUAACUACGUGCCAGCAGCCGCGGUAAUACGUAGGGUGCGAGCGUUAAUCGGAAUUACUGGGCGUAAAGCGAGCGCAGACGGUUACUUAAGCAGGAUGUGAAAUCCCUGGGCUCAACCUGGGAACUGCGUUCUGAACUGGGUGACUAGGGUGUGUCAGAGGGAGGUAGAAUUCCACGUGUAGCAGUGAAAUGCGUAGAGAUGUGGAGGAAUACCGAUGGCGAAGGCAGCCUCCUGGGAUAACACUGACGUUCAUGCUCGAAAGCGUGGGUAGCAAACAGGAUUAGAUACCCUGGUAGUCCACGCCCUAAACGAUGUCAAUUAGCUGUUGGGCAACUUGAUUGCUUAGUAGCGUAGCUAACGCGUGAAAUUGACCGCCUGGGGAGUACGGUCGCAAGAUUAAAACUCAAAGGAAUUGACGGA
This 591-nucleotide ribosomal RNA is filed under the name uncultured bacterium. RNAcentral describes it as "bacterial SSU rRNA". It matches the Rfam family "Bacterial small subunit ribosomal RNA", at positions 334 to 917 of the family's 1533-position model. The record is from RNAcentral.